This 405-nucleotide ribosomal RNA is filed under the name uncultured Caldilineaceae bacterium. RNAcentral's name for it is "bacterial SSU rRNA". It matches the Rfam family "Bacterial small subunit ribosomal RNA", at positions 355 to 776 of the family's 1533-position model. The record is from RNAcentral. Lineage: Bacteria; Bacillati; Chloroflexota; Caldilineae; Caldilineales; Caldilineaceae.
UGAGGAAUAUUGGACAAUGGGCGCAAGCCUGAUCCAGCAACGCCGCGUGGAGGAAGACGGCCUUCGGGUUGUAAACUUCUUUUUGGGGGGACAAGGAAGGAUGGUACCCCUAGAAUAAGUCACGGCUAACUACGUGCCAGCAGCCGCGGUAAUACGUAGGUGACAAGCGUUAUCCGGAAUUAUUGGGCGUAAAGCGUACGCAAGCGGUUGAAUAAGUCUGACGUGAAAUCUCUUGGCUUAACUGAGAGGGGUCGUUGGAAACUGUUUGGCUUGAGGCGAUGAGAGGAAUGCGGAAUCCCCGGUGUAGUGGUGGAAUGCGUAGAUAUCGGGGGGAACAUCAGUGGCGAAAGCGGCAUUCUGGCAUUAGCCUGACGCACAGGUACGAAAGCGUGGGGAGCGAACGGG